RNAcentral lists this ribosomal RNA (433 nucleotides) under uncultured bacterium. RNAcentral describes it as "partial 16S ribosomal RNA". It matches the Rfam family "Bacterial small subunit ribosomal RNA", at positions 29 to 507 of the family's 1533-position model. The record is from RNAcentral.
AACGAACGCUGGCGGCAGGCCUAACACAUGCCAGUCGAGCGCGCCCUUCGGGGUGAGCGGCGGACGGGUGCGUAACGCGUGGGAACGUGCCCUUUUCUACGGAAUAGCCUCGGGAAACUGAUAGUAAUACCGUAUACGCCCUUUGGGGGAAAGAUUUAUCGGAAAAGGAUCGGCCCGCGUUGGAUUAGGUAGUUGGUGGGGUAAUGGCCUACCAAGCCGACGAUCCAUAGCUGGUUUGAGAGGAUGAUCAGCCACACUGGGACUGAGACACGGCCCAGACUCCUACGGGAGGCAGCAGUGGGGAAUCUUAGACAAUGGGGGCAACCCUGAUCUAGCCAUGCCGCGUGAGUGAUGAAGGCCUUAGGGUUGUAAAGCUCUUUCAGCUGGGAAGAUAAUGACGGUACCAGCAGAAGAAGCCCCGGCUAACUCCGUG